RNAcentral lists this ribosomal RNA (1395 nucleotides) under Triticum aestivum (bread wheat). RNAcentral's name for it is "partial small subunit ribosomal RNA". Lineage: Eukaryota; Viridiplantae; Streptophyta; Magnoliopsida; Poales; Poaceae. The record is from RNAcentral.
AUGGACGCCGUGGGCGAGCUUGCUGCUGCGGGGAUGCACCACCACCACCACCACCACCACAGGUGCAAGGUGUGCGGCAAGGGCUUCUCGUGCGGCCGCUCGCUAGGCGGCCACAUGCGCUCCCACAUCUCGCUCGGCGAGGCGCUGCCGGAGGCCGACGACGAGCUGAUGAGGCGCUCCUCCGCCAACGGCGGCCGGACCAGCGCCAAUGGCGCCGUCGGCUACGGGCUCAGGGAGAACCCCAAGAAGACGCGCCGGCUGUCCGACUUCGCCGACGAGGAGGAGGAUCAGGGCGGUGACGGGGGCGAGCAGAGGGCCUGCCGGGAGUGCGGCAAGCUGUUCUCGUCGUGGCGAUCGCUGUUCGGCCACAUGAAGAGCCAUGCGCCCGGCGCCGCCAGGGAUCACGAUGAGUACGACGAGGCUGACGACGACGUGGACCUGCUGGGAGAGGAGGAGUACUCCUUCGCCGCGGAGGCGGAGGCGGAGGCCGAGAAGGAGGAGGAGGAAGAGGAGAUGGAGGCGGCGCCGAUGGAACCGCUGGUGCCGGCGCCGGUGGCUGUGAUGGCUGCGCCGCCCAGGCGGAGGCGCAGGUCGAUGCGCGUGGCGGCGCCUGCCCCCGCGCCGCCGCCGCCGAUGCUGAGCGCGUUCGAGAAGGAGCAGGAGGACGUCGCGCUCUGCCUCCUGAUGCUCUCGCGCGACUCCACCGGCGGCAUGCGGGGCUCGCCGGCGCCGAAGCAGGCGCACCUCCCGAGGAACGGCUACGGCUACAAUUCCGACGACGACUCAGCUCUGUUCCAGUACGGCGACGCCAAGACCAAGAGCGUGGCCAAGAGCAAGAAGCGAAGGACCAGCCAUUACGCUCUCAACUCCGCCUCGCCGAAGCAACGGGGCGAGGCGGCGCCGCCACCGGCGAAGCGCACCCGCUACGAGUGCCCGGGGUGCGGCAGGGUGUUCAGCUCCUACCAGGCGCUGGGCGGCCACCGCGCGAGCCACAAGCGGAUCAACACCAGCUGCAGCGCGCCCAAGGCCGCGCCCGCCGCCGCCCCCGCGCCGGAGCCGAGCGUCGACACCUACACCUCGUUCGGCACCCUGUCCCCGUCGGCCUCGCCGGACUCGGUGGCCAUCGGCAUUGGCGCCGGCAGCAACAAGAAGCCAGCUGCUGCCGAGGCGGAGAAGUUCGAGUGCCCGGUCUGCUUCAGGGUGUUCGGGUCGGGGCAGGCGUUGGGCGGGCACAAGCGGUCCCACAUAAUCGCCGACACUGCCUUCUCCUCCGACGGCGAGCUCUACGGCAGCGCGAGCGUGAGCGUGAACGAGGAGCAGGAGCAGGGGUACCCGGUGGCGGCGGCGGGGUCGCUGGACCUCAACUUCCCGCCGGCUCCAUCGGAGGAGGCCUGA